UACGAAGGGUGCAACCGUUGCUCGGAAUUAUUGGGCGUAAAGCGCACGUAGGCGGCUUUGCAAGUCGGAUGUGAAAUCCCUCGGCUUAACCAAGGAAGUGCAUCCGAAACUGCAGAGCUUGAGUACUUAAGAGGAUCGCGGAAUUCCCGGUGUAGAGGUGAAAUUCGUAGAUAUCGGGAGGAACACCGGUGGCGAAGGCGGUUCUCUGGGCCUGUACUGACGCUGAGGAGCGAAAGCGUGGGGAGCGAACAGG
Molecule: ribosomal RNA, 253 nt
Filed under: uncultured bacterium
Lineage: Bacteria
Description: partial 16S ribosomal RNA
Rfam family: Bacterial small subunit ribosomal RNA
Source: RNAcentral